RNAcentral lists this unclassified non-coding RNA (378 nucleotides) under uncultured Chlamydiales bacterium. RNAcentral's name for it is "contains 16S-23S intergenic spacer region". The record is from RNAcentral. Lineage: Bacteria; Pseudomonadati; Chlamydiota; Chlamydiia; Chlamydiales.
UCCGAGUUGACCCCGGCAGUAUCCCAUGAGUUCCCGCCAUUACGCGUUGGCAACUAACGAUAAGGGUUGCGCUCGUUGCUGGACUUAACCAAACACCUCACGGCACGAGCUGACGACAGCCAUGCAGCACCUAUAUAGAGACCCUUUCGAGAAACAUCAUCUCUGAUGUCGUCCUCUACAUUUCGAGCCCAGGUAAGGUUCUUCGCGUUGCAUCGAAUUAAACCACAUGCUCCACUGCUUGUGCGGGCCCCCGUCAAUUCUUUUGAGUUUCACCCUUGCGAGCGUACUCCCCAGGCGGCAUACUUAAUGCGUUAGCUCCGGAACAGGGGGGGUUGAGCCCUCCUACUCCUAGUAUGCAUCGUUUAAGGCAUGGACUAC